Molecule: non-coding RNA, 163 nt
Filed under: Bacillus sp. (in: firmicutes)
Lineage: Bacteria; Bacillati; Bacillota; Bacilli; Caryophanales; Bacillaceae
Also listed under: 1 other name
Description: Bacillus sp. SAM-I sequence
Rfam family: SAM riboswitch aptamer (S box leader)
About the family: The SAM riboswitch is found upstream of a number of genes which code for proteins involved in methionine or cysteine biosynthesis in Gram-positive bacteria. The SAM riboswitch acts at the level of transcription termination control. The predicted structure consists of a complex stem-loop region followed by a single stem loop terminator region.
Source: RNAcentral
CUCUUAUCGAGAGUUGGGAGAGGGAAUUGGCCCGUUGACCCCAACAGCAACCGACCGUAAUACCAUUGUGAAAUGGGGCGCAGCAGCAAGCGCCGGGGCUUAUCGCUCCGCAAGGCACGGUGCUAAAUCCGUCAGAAAGCAAAUGCUUUUUGGGAGAUAAGAG